RNAcentral lists this transfer RNA (62 nucleotides) under Hypsiscopus plumbea (rice paddy snake). RNAcentral's name for it is "tRNA-Met". Lineage: Eukaryota; Metazoa; Chordata; Lepidosauria; Squamata; Homalopsidae. The record is from RNAcentral.
AGCAAAGUCAGCUAAAUAAGCUAUCGGGCCCAUACCCCGAAAAUGCCACCCGGCCUUUGCUA